CCAGCGCGGUACCGGCCCCGCGGGGCAGCGGCACCUCCGGGGCUGCCCCGGGCCAGGCUCACAGAGCUCAUGGCCGCCCCUCAGCGCGGUCAGGGCUUCCGCGACACAGCCGGACACAGCCACCGUCCCGCCCCUCGGCGCAGGGUCGAUGGGAGUCCCAAGCUCCGCGGCUUCCCAGGGUUCUUCCUCCGUGAGGAGGCUGAUCCAGUCCCAGGCUUGGCCAGUGGUUUAUGUCUAAAGCGGUGCAAUUGAGCCUUUAUACGAUUUUGACCUUCAGUAUUAAGGAUGGGAACCCAAAAAUAUUUAUAUAAAUAAAAUACUUAAUGAUUGUAAGGAUUACACUAAAAAGAUCUUUUUCAGAAUCAUUUACUGCACAAUGUAGAUAGUUCUAGCUACUACAGCAAUGCAAUAUUUUUGAAGCAAUAUUGAUACUAAAUGAUACUAAAGGUAGUAAAGUAAUUACUGAACAGACAUUGAUGCUUUUCACCUGUCUCAGUGCCUGGGGCAAAUCUCCCACUCAGCCUCGAGCAAUUGCUCCGAUGGGCACCCCUCAGCUCCAGGGAGGAAUUUCCACACACACUCACAGAAAUACCAGAAUAAGGAAAGAACAAAAGUUACUUUUCAGUUCUUUUCCAGCCUAAAUGAUUCUGUGAUCAUUCAAUCCAUCCACCAACGCAGCCCUGCCAAGCAAAAAAAAAAACAAAACCAUGAAAAAGCUACCAACUCCCAAGAGCCACACCCACACGUUUUUUGAACACUCCAGGGACGGUGCCCUGCUCCGGGCAGCCUGUCACAGUCCCUGAGCACCCUUUCAGGGAAGAAAUUUUCCUGAGUAUCCAGUCCCUGCCUAGGACUGGAUGUUCAGGAAAACAACCUGGGGCUGUUCCACCUCUUGUGUGAGCCCAAAAGCCCCACGGAGCCGUGCUGGGGCCACGCUCCAGCUGACACAGCCAGAGAAACCCCGACUGCAGCACAUCCAGCUUGGGAAGAGGCACUGCAGAACUGCAGGCAAGACUGAGGAGCUGUGGGAAAUGCUGCUUUCAGGAUUCCAAGCUUCAUCCAGAGGCAGGUGUGGACUUAGUGAACCUGACAUUUUCCUCAGCCACCUCAAACCAGCCACUUUUUAAGCAGGAUAUUUACUUCAUGAAAGGUUAAAAUAAAAUAAAACUAUGUGAGUGA
Long non-coding RNA from Prinia subflava (tawny-flanked prinia), 1179 nucleotides. RefSeq lists it as uncharacterized. NCBI's taxonomy places the organism in Eukaryota, Metazoa, Chordata, Aves, Passeriformes, Cisticolidae. The transcript has 2 exons. The record is from RefSeq and is a predicted model, not a curated record.